This 492-nucleotide ribosomal RNA is filed under the name uncultured bacterium. RNAcentral describes it as "partial 16S ribosomal RNA". It matches the Rfam family "Bacterial small subunit ribosomal RNA", at positions 29 to 507 of the family's 1533-position model. The record is from RNAcentral.
AGUGAACGCUGGCGGUAGGCCUAACACAUGCCAGUCGAACGGCAGCACAGUAAGAGCUUGCUCUUACGGGUGGCGAGUGGCGGACGGGUGAGGAAUACAUCGGAAUCUACUUUUUCGUGGGGGAUAACGUAGGGAAACUUACGCUAAUACCGCAUACGACCUACGGGUGAGAGCAGGGGAUCUUCGGACCUUGCGCGAUUGAAUGAGCCGAUGUCGGAUUAGCUAGUUGGCGGGGUAAAGGCCCACCAAGGCGACGAUCCGUAGCUGGUCUGAGAGGAUGAUCAGCCACACUGGAACUGAGACACGGUCCAGACUCCUACGGGAGGCAGCAGUGGGGAAUAUUGGACAAUGGGCGCAAGCCUGAUCCAGCCAUACCGCGUGGGUGAAGAAGGCCUUCGGGUUGUAAAGCCCUUUUGUUGGGAAAGAAAAGCAGCAGGUUAAUACCCCGCUGUUCUGACGGUACCCAAAGAAUAAGCACCGGCUAACUUCGUG